GUUCGAAUGGUGUAGUGGUUAUCACGUGUCGUUCACAUCCAAGUGAAUACAUAUUCUCCGACAAGGUCCCCGGUUCGACCCCGGGUUCGAACA
Molecule: transfer RNA, 93 nt
Filed under: Exophiala dermatitidis NIH/UT8656
Lineage: Eukaryota; Fungi; Ascomycota; Eurotiomycetes; Chaetothyriales; Herpotrichiellaceae
Description: tRNA-Val
Source: RNAcentral